RNAcentral lists this long non-coding RNA (2869 nucleotides) under Homo sapiens (human). Its description in RNAcentral is "HSALNT0398620". The record is from RNAcentral. Lineage: Eukaryota; Metazoa; Chordata; Mammalia; Primates; Hominidae.
AUGCUGAGAAUUCUCGAUGCCAGGCUGCCCAAGGCCACAGUGAGCAUCAGAUAAGGGAGAACUAUUCCUUUGUUCUGAAGACUUCAUGACUCAGGGCUGAGCUCAAUCUAAAUGACAUGCAGCAUUAUUUUCUACUUACUAUGUAGUCUAGGGUUCCUCCUGUUUCUCUGCCACCUAGAGAUCAAUUCAUUUUUAUCAAUAUUUGGGAAAAUCAGUGACAUAAAUCAGCUCCAGCAUCAAACUUCAGCUGCUACAGAGAAGGCCAGGUGUAUGGAGCAAACAAAGCCUGCAGCCUGGGAGAUUAGGAACCACUCCUAACAAUGGACUUAAUAACAUCACAUUCAUCACCUGAUUGGAUUCUUCCAACAUGAAGCUCACAGAAGGUGAGUUACCUCAGUCCGUUCUCCUGAGAGCACUCCCUCAGUAACACACUUGAACGAGUCUCCACUCGGGCUCUGCUUCUAGAGCACAUGACCCAAGACACCAGGCAACUCCUGGUUAACUCAGGACUCUGCCAGCGUUCAAUAACUCAAGCUAUCCUUCACCCUCGUCUCUCAUACUCACUCCUGUGGUCGCUGAGUAUCACCUCAUUACCCAGCACAUCCUGGGUAUCCAUCGCACCUCCACCUCCUGUAAUAAUCCCAUUCCAUCACUUGCCCAAUCUAGCAGCCUCAACAUAUCCCUGAGCCUUGUCUACAUACACAUGUCCAAUUGUAGACCCCACCUCUGAGCCAUAGCACAUCCUCAGCCCUAGACCCACGUAGCAUUAACCUCACUCUCAAGAGAGAAAAACUGGGUUAGUAUUUAAGGCAGGACUUCUCUAACUUCAGUGUGCAGAUGAACCUGGGCAUCUUGUUAAAAUGAAGGCUCUGCCUGAGCAGGUCGGGGCAGGGACGAGAGGCUCUGCAUUUCUAACAAGCUCCUGAGAAUGCAAAGGCUGCUGGUCCACUGCACUCUUGUUACAAUGGACCAGCAGCGUUAACCAUGGGGAAAGUCAAAGUUUAAUGUCAGACUUUGACGUUUGGUUACACGUGUGUUCACAUUUCUAGAGCAGUAGUUCUCAACUGGGAGAGAGUUUAUCGCCCAGGGCAUAAAUGGAAAUUUCUAAAGAUGCUUUUUGGUCUCCUUCAGCCUCAUCCCCUAGGGCACAAUAAAGUCUAACAAAGGGUAGGGAUGUGGUAAUAUGAAGGCUGAGCUGGUGAAAUCACCUUGUCACUCAAAGCCACAUUUCCCUUCCACCACCUGGGUCAAAAUGUGCUCAAGCAUCAUUUCCUCUGUGAAACCCUUCCAUGCAGACACCACCAGCCAUACGUCCCUUGCUCCUUUCUCCAGGGUGCUCUGGGCCCCUCCCUCCAUCAGUUAGAAUUCCGGUCACCUUCAAGUGAUGAAACCCUAAACGAACAGGCACUUGACCAGUUUAAUUCUCCCAGGUGACAGUACUGGCAUGGCUCUUCACAGCCUCGGGGAGGCAGGCUCCUUCUCUCUUGUCCUGCCUUACUUGACCUUCACGCCUAAGAUCAUUUUCUGGCCCCAGGUGGCAGCUCCUACUCCAGCCAUCUGGUCCACAUUCCAGAGUGCAGGAAGGAGGAAAGGUGGGGGAUGACGCCUUCCCCCUUAAGAACACUUCCUAGAAGCUGCAUAUACCACUUCUGUUCAACAUCUUUUUGGCUAGAAUUUGGUCACAAUACCACACCUAAUUUCAAGAGACACUAGGAAAAUACCUUGAAUCCAUGUAGUCAUCUGCCCAGUUAAAAAUCAGAGCUUCUACAUUAGGAAGGGGAGAAUAGAUACCGAGAUAACUGAUCUAUCUUGCCACAGUUCUCUCCCUAGUACCGUCCUGAUUACUCUGAGACCUCCUGGGGACAGGGUCCAAGCCCAAGUCUUCUUCAAGAACACAGGAAAUGGCCCACAGGGGGUUCUCUGGCAAUGUACAGCUAACUCUGCUUCUCAUGUUGUGUACUUCUCAUGUUGAAACUGUUACACACUUUCCAGGUACUAAUUCACUUGGUCCUCGCCACCCACCCUGCAAUCUAGGUAUUACUGUAACUCUCAUUUUACACAAUACAAAACUGAGCUCAUAAAGACUUAACAAGCUACUCCUAGUCACACGUCUAUUAACUGAAGGAGCCACAAUUUGGACCCAGGCAGUCUGGUUCCAAGGCACCUGCUCUUAACCCCCCAAAUACUCGGCCGACAUCUAUGAAUCUGAACUGCACUACAGGACACCACCCAGAGCACCUCAUGGACCCUCUACCCCAAAGGCCAGCAGCACUCCUGGGGGGAUCCCCAGAGUAUUCUUUCGGGACAUAGGGGUAUAAUGGGUCCUGUAACAAGAUCUUCUCCAGAGAAAAGCGCAGAUGUUGUGGCUCUGGGGUGGUGCCCCCUCCUCCAAGCUGAUGACUAAGGCCAGAGGACCAACUACUUCUAGACCUUUAUUUCUCUGUGAAAAGGGGGAAAAUAAAAGGAAUAAAAUAAAAACGGCACAGUUGACACACAAAAAAAAACCAAUGAUGGGGAGGACGGGAGGUGGAGAAGUAAAUGGGGGAGGGGUUCCCAUUACAGCAGCAGGAUCCAGUGACCCGGGAUGCUCACAUCUCUCCCUGACGUGGGCGGAGUAGCCCCUUCCUCCCAAGGUCACUGUCCUGUCCAACCCCGUGCUCCCCUAGCCCGUUGGGAGGUGGACAGUGAGACAUCUUCCCAGGCUGGGGAGAGGAGGAACCGUGCUGGGGGAAGGGGCCUGGGGUCAGACCAUGCACAGGGAGUGACAGCCAAAGGCCCCCCAGUGUCUCCCCAAAGAGGGACUUGUGGGGGUUGGAGGGUGGACACCAGAGGCCAGUGUUUGCUCCUCUUCCAGCAUCAGGCGAGAGAC